GAGUCAGCCUUCCUGUGAUGAUGGCAGUAAAUGUAGCUGGUUGGCCAGGCUCUACACACAGAUCCUCAGCGGGUACCUGGAUGGAGGGAGGAGCUGAGCAGGAGAUUAGAUCAGUUAGUAAUCACACAAAGGUAACACACAGGCGGCUGUAUCGCCUGAUCCAUGGAUGUCGAGGCAGGAACAGCCUCUUCAGUGCUACAUUCAGUUCUGGAGACAAAGUGAAAACCAUGUCUCUCCACAUUUGCUGAUUUUGAAUGUUUGUGAUAAACUGAGGACAAAGUGUUCCUUUAUGUGCUGAGAAAAUGAUCCUACUUCUUAAGAUAAAUAAACUAUUUAAAAAGCCUCUUGGAUCAGCUAGAAAAUGUAUCGCCACAAAGCUAAAAACAGGGCAGUUUUCAGACACCAUCAAAUGUUGACUUUUAGAGAUACAUGGUUCUCACAGGACAGCAACACUACAAACAUAAUGCUCUUACAGAAUAUGUAAAUUAGCACAAAUUUAAAUAUCUACAGCAGUAAACUGCAACAUACACAAUAAUGCAGCAGUAAUAUUCAUCCAGAAACAUCAUAUACUGCACAAUGAGUUUUUUUACUUUAAGUACUGUACAUUUUGCUGAUAAUACUUACAUACUUUUACUUAAGUAAGGUUUUGAAUGCUUUUACUUGUAGUGAAGUAUUUACACAGUGUGCUAUUAGUCAGGAUUUGAAUACUUCUUUCUUCACUGCUUACUGUUCAGGGUGUCCAGGAGGGAAGAGCAUCUUAGCAAUAGAGGUCGGACUGAAAUCCGUCUGUAGCCAUUUUUUCACAAAGGCAGUGGACCAGCCCUCUGAGUCUGCAUCUAUGAAAACCAAAAUGCCAUUCAGCAGGAAUUUAUGGAUCAGACACUUAAAAUAAGACAUGAGCGUAUGCCUACUCCAAAGGGAACACCUGCCCAGCACAUGACCAUCUUGUGUUCGUAGGAGUGAAGAGUUAGCUGGGCAUGCGUUGGCAAGAAGAGAAAGGGGAAUGUUGCAUGGUUAUUUGUUAUCGUGACAGUGAUGACUUACAUGGAACAGUCCAUGUGAGGAACUUCCUGCUUUAGGAAUAGUGGAGGGAAAAUGGAAAAAGAUGUAGGUUAUGGAAAAUGAAAGGGCAAACAUGGUGAACCGGUUUAAAAAAUCCAGAAAGAAAAUGCAUAUAUCUAAGGGAAAUAACAUUAUAGCCUGUAUAAAGAAUAUUGUACGUCAAACUUACAAUUGGUUUUCAGCAACAUCUAAUAUUUCUAUUGAAUUUGGUUGUAUCAUAUUCUACUGUAUUAUACUACUUUUAUUUCUGACCCUAUGUGAUAGAAAUAGAGACACUGUUGAAAAAUCACGACGUAAUAUAUGACUAAUAGCGGAUACUUGCUAUCUCUGUAGUCAAAUUACUGCUGUUAGUUUCUGGCACCUCAAGGUUCGUCUGACUUUUGGAUCCUAAUG
Molecule: long non-coding RNA, 1455 nt
Organism: Sander lucioperca (pikeperch)
Lineage: Eukaryota; Metazoa; Chordata; Actinopteri; Perciformes; Percidae
Exons: 3
Source: RefSeq, a predicted model, not a curated record